This 291-nucleotide ribosomal RNA is filed under the name uncultured bacterium. RNAcentral describes it as "partial 16S ribosomal RNA". It matches the Rfam family "Bacterial small subunit ribosomal RNA", at positions 335 to 644 of the family's 1533-position model. The record is from RNAcentral.
ACUCCUACGGGAGGCAGCAGUGGGGAAUCUUAGACAAUGGGGGAACCCAUGAUCUAGCCAUGCCGCGUGAGCGAUGAAGGCCUUAGGGUUGUAAAGCUCUUUCAGCGGGGAAAGAUAAUGACGGUACCCGCAGAAGAAGCCCCGGCUAACUCCGUGCCAGCAGCCGCGGUAAUACGGAGGGGCUAGCGUUGUUCGGAAUUACUGGGCGUAAAGCGCGCGUAGGCGGAUUGGAAAGUCAGAGGUGAAAUCCCGGGGCUCAACCCCGGAACGCCUUUGAAACUCCCAGUCUUG